Stomoxys calcitrans (stable fly) is the source of this 622-nucleotide long non-coding RNA. RefSeq lists it as uncharacterized. The record is from RefSeq and is a predicted model, not a curated record. The transcript has 2 exons. Lineage: Eukaryota; Metazoa; Arthropoda; Insecta; Diptera; Muscidae.
AGAGCAUGAAAAAAAUUUAAACUUUUUAACAUACACCUACACAUUUUGUUCCAAUUUUGUCAAAAGAGGUUCAAAAUUCUCAAGGACCUGCAGCCUAUAUUCCAUAAAGAUUCACUUGAUGAGGGGAAGGACCCCAAAAAAGGACUUCAUAUUCGUGUUCAUGGGCUCAAUUUAGGGAGGCGUACAAAAAAUUGGGUUUUUUUUUGCCAUUUUCCUCGUAAACUGCAUUUCUGCCCAGGUUUUGAAUGCUGAUAAGGUAAAGGCUAAUGCUAUGCCCACAUCGACUCGUUUUGAAAAACAUCUCAACCGUUCAUACUAGUGUGAUGUUUUGGAAAUUGCAUUUUUUCACACUCCAACGUCAAUGUUAUGAUGCACUAUUGUUAACAUUUAUUCUUUCUUGCUUUUUCGGACUGUGUUAUUUAGGCAUUUAUUUGGGCUCACAUGCUUUGAGUGACUCUUUUUUUUGUGGCAAACGAGUCGUUUCGCUCUUAUAAAUUGUAAAGGCAAAAUGAACCGAAAUACCUAUCAACGUGAAUUGAUUCUGAACGAUGCAAAUGGACUUCUUCAUAAGAAUAUUUCCUCUGAUCUCUUUCAAUGAUUAAAUACGCUGUACACAAUGUAA